Molecule: ribosomal RNA, 166 nt
Filed under: uncultured Lactobacillus sp.
Lineage: Bacteria; Bacillati; Bacillota; Bacilli; Lactobacillales; Lactobacillaceae
Description: partial 16S ribosomal RNA
Rfam family: Bacterial small subunit ribosomal RNA
Source: RNAcentral
CCUACGGGAGGCAGCAGUAGGGAAUCUUCCACAAUGGACGCAAGUCUGAUGGAGCAACGCCGCGUGAGUGAAGAAGGCUUUCGGGUCGUAAAGCUCUGUUGUCGGGGAAGAACGUCGGCAGAGUAACUCAGGCGGCAUGACGGUAAUCAACGAGAAAGUUCCUUUC